WCCGUAAAUGAGGCUACGGCUCACCG
RNAcentral lists this transfer RNA (26 nucleotides) under Uroplatus sikorae. Its description in RNAcentral is "tRNA-Tyr". Lineage: Eukaryota; Metazoa; Chordata; Lepidosauria; Squamata; Gekkonidae. The record is from RNAcentral.